UGGGGAAUUUUGGACAAUGGGCGAAAGCCUGAUCCAGCAAUGCCGCGUGUGUGAAGAAGGCCUUCGGGUUGUAAAGCACUUUUGUCCGGAAAGAAAUCCUUGGCUCUAAUACAGUCGGGGGAUGACGGUACCGGAAGAAUAAGCACCGGCUAACUACGUGCCAGCAGCCGCGGUAAUACGUAGGGUGCAAGCGUUAAUCGGAAUUACUGGGCGUAAAGCGUGCGCAGGCGGUUUGCUAAGACCGAUGUGAAAUCCCCGGGCUCAACCUGGGAACUGCAUUGGUGACUGGCAGGCUAGAGUAUGGCAGAGGGGGGUAGAAUUCCACGUGUAGCAGUGAAAUGCGUAGAGAUGUGGAGGAAUACCGAUGGCGAAGGCAGCCCCCUGGGCCAAUACUGACGCUCAUGCACGAAAGCGUGGGGAGCAAACAGGAUUAGAUACCCUGGUAGUCCACGCCCUAAACGAUGUCAACUAGUUGUUGGGGAUUCAUUUCCUUAGUAACGUAGCUAACGCGUGAAGUUGACCGCCUGGGGAGUACGGUCGCAAGAUUAAAACUCAAAAGAAUUGACGGGGUCAUAGCUGUUUCCU
This 585-nucleotide ribosomal RNA is filed under the name uncultured bacterium. RNAcentral describes it as "partial 16S ribosomal RNA". It matches the Rfam family "Bacterial small subunit ribosomal RNA", at positions 355 to 1375 of the family's 1533-position model. The record is from RNAcentral.